Non-coding RNA from Cherax quadricarinatus, 2159 nucleotides. The record is from RefSeq and is a predicted model, not a curated record. NCBI's taxonomy places the organism in Eukaryota, Metazoa, Arthropoda, Malacostraca, Decapoda, Parastacidae.
GGUGUAGCUGGCAGAGUACGUCACGCACUCUCGUCCUGCCUCAACAAUGUGCAUUCUUUCCAAUCAAUAAAGCAUAGUACAAUUUAUUUUUUUGAAAAUUUUAUUUUUAAAACUUAUUUCUAACAUUUACAAUUUUCAAUUGAUCAUUCGUAUACAUAAGAUGUCAUUUUCCUUGUGUCAUUAUUGUAAGCUCCCAUGACUAUCGCAGUUUUAUAUUUCUUAAUGUGGUGAAAGUUGGUGCAAUACUUGAGUAAUUACGUUCAUAACUAUCAUUACUAGCACUAGACACGCAAACUAACACUAACAGCCUCGAGCACACCUACAACACUCACGCUACACCAGUAACAAACUCAUUAACAUUAUUCAUGGGGAUCCGCUAAACCCGUAAGGGUUAUAUAGCAUUUGGGUAAUGGGAGUCAGGUUUGAUGAGAUGAAGGGGUUGAUAGUUCCAAUUCCUCGGAUCACGAGCUCUUCUGCGUCAAGGCAUCUCACUCCCCUUGAAGGGAUUUUAGCAAAAUCUUCAGUCUCUACGACGCCAUUUUUCUCAUUUAUAUCACUGUCCAUUCAUCACCAUCUUUAUGUCUACCCAUCGCCUACAAUAUUAGUCGUAUUUUCAGUGUCAACAUUGUACGGCAUUUUGACUCUCGGUUCCAAUUUUGAUAGCAGCGUCUGACACAACGAAUAUCUUCGAAAGUGAAAGUCCUUAAACGACGGUAACACUGCUGCUCCUGGGUCUAGAGCAAUCACAAAAGCGUUAGUAGACCGUAAAUAAAGAAACAACAGGUGUAAAAUAAGGAUAGGCUGCCUGUAGAGGGUGGGGGCUCUAGCGAGUCUUGUCACGAAACUACACAGGUGUAUAUGGUGGAUGGUGGCGGUGGUAGUGCUAGUGGUUUUAGUAGUAGUAGUAGUAAACAGCAGCAAUGGUAGUGACAGUGCCUUGUACUGGAGAUGACAAGGAUCCACCACUGACCACUGCGCAUAUAAAAACACCUGCUUUGUCCUGUCACCAUGGAACUCUCUCUUCUCUCGUCUGCAGGUGACUCAUAGUUCACUGCUGAGAGCAUUCACUUCCAAUCCCUAGGUCCUGGGUUAGGUACCACAAACACGGAGAAACGUUAGGGCAAAUUUACUCUUACUGCUUCUGCUCGCCUAGCAGUAAAAAAAGUGGAUCUGUAAAUUUGUUAGCAAACUGCAGUCCUGCUGGAAAUAUUCGAGUGUUAAACGUAUAGUUAUCUACAGAUUAUUGUGUAUCUAAUAAUAUUAAUUGAAAAAUCCCUUCUCAUCUUUCUCACAUCCAUCUCUCUCUCUUAAAACGAGUUUAGAUGCGAUCAGUCAUGAAUACGGUGAGUCAUUCCAGUAACAUUAACACCUAUUAUUAAUAAUAGUUAUCUUAGAGAGUAGCAAUCACUGGUGAUACUUCUUGGGUUAUAACUCACUGCAGGUCACUUGUCACCCCAGAGGUGUUCAUUGAAUGUAUCAGACAGUAAUUAUUUUACCCCCAUACUCUACACCCCAUCAAAGAAUAUACACAGGUGUACACCUUAACCCUUACUUUCCACCCCACUCUCCAUCGUAUAUAUACAUGUACAAGCAGUAGCUGGUAUAUCAGUAUGUAUAUAACUGUGAUUUAUGCUGACACAGUAAUGCGAAUAUCUCAAAGAAUAUGCAUUAUGAUUUAUAAUCAGUCAAACAAGUUGAACUAUCCUAAAAAUAGAUAAUUUCGAAGUUUUUUAUCAUAUAUUGAUAAAUAUAUUGAUGUGAAUUAAUAUACUGUACAUUUAACAUGAUUUCUGCAUCAAGACUAACGCUGCAACCUAAGUUAACUAUGCAAAAACAAAAUGUAUCCUAGGUCAGCCUAAAUUUAGUUUGUAUUAUUUAACAUCAGUGAAAUAUAUUUUUUGUGAUGUUCAUACUGACUUUCAGAGUUACUGCUGCAAUGCAUUUCAAUUGUGUUGUUUAAUAAAAAUAAUCAGUGUUUUAUAUGCCAAGAUCGCAAACUCUGCCUUAAAAGGCACGACAUUACACACUGAGAGGUGUAUAUCUCAUCAGUGUAUAUACACCGAGAGGUGUAUAUCUCAUCAGUGUAUAUACACUGAGAGGUGUAUAUCUCAUCAGUGUAUAUACACUGAGAAGUGUACAUCUCAUCAGUGUAUAUACAC